RNAcentral lists this ribosomal RNA (253 nucleotides) under uncultured bacterium. RNAcentral describes it as "partial 16S ribosomal RNA". It matches the Rfam family "Bacterial small subunit ribosomal RNA", at positions 524 to 776 of the family's 1533-position model. The record is from RNAcentral.
UACGAAGGGGGCUAGCGUUGCUCGGAAUCACUGGGCGUAAAGGGUGCGUAGGCGGGCCUUUAAGUCAGGGGUGAAAUCCUGGAGCUCAACUCCAGAACUGCCUUUGAUACUGAAGAUCUUGAGUUCGGGAGAGGUGAGUGGAACUGCGAGUGUAGAGGUGAAAUUCGUAGAUAUUCGCAAGAACACCAGUGGCGAAGGCGGCUCACUGGCCCGAUACUGACGCUGAGGCACGAAAGCGUGGGGAGCAAACAGG